This is a long non-coding RNA of Anolis carolinensis (green anole), 1668 nucleotides long. Lineage: Eukaryota; Metazoa; Chordata; Lepidosauria; Squamata; Anolidae. The record is from Ensembl.
AUGCCUGCUAUAGAUGUGGGUGAAACAUCAAGAGAGAAUACUUUUGGAUUCUGGUCCUGCAGGCUGGGAAACACACAGCAACCCUCAAUCAGAGAAGAUUGCAAAUCAACUUUGUUACUGAGUUCUGCUGUCAUGGAAAACAGGGAUGAUGAAGGAUGCAAACUACUUCUGACUUGGAUUUUCUUAUCUAAAUGAAAUUUUGCUUUUAUAUAAAUGUAACUAUUGAGAGCAUUGUGUCUUUAAAAAAAAAAAGUUCCCCACUCAGUUAAUAAUUUUACAAGUCCCUUCAGCCUAUUCUCAUAUGGAAAUGAUUCAAAUUCCUUUAUCAUAUUAAAUGUCAUUUUCUGAACAUUGGAAGCUGCGGUUGUUGUGUGUUUUCUGGGCUGUAUGGCCAUGUUCCAGAAGUAUUCUCUCCUGACGUUUCACCCACAUCUAUGGCAGGUGUUGUGAGGUAUGUCUUAAUUGAAUCACAUAAUCAGAAAAGAUUAUGUGAUUCAAUGUAAUACAAGUCCCAUAUCUGCAGGACUAGUACCCAUGGUUUCAUUUACCCACUGCUGACAAAAUAUGGCCUCUCUAAGUAUUUUAUAGGUCUUCCAGCACAAUUUCAAGGAAUUAUUGUUUCAUGUCUUCAUUUCAAUAGUGUUUGCUAUUGAUAUUGUGUAUCCAUGCAAAGUCCAGGAAGAUCUCUCCCAUGUGGGUCAUAAUGUAUUAUCUACACUGACUGAAAGCAGUUGUCUGAGAUUUUAAGGAGACCUAUUUUCUUAGCCCUACCUGGAAAUACUGUCACUGAACUUGGGAACUCUCUAUAUGUAAAGUAUGUGUUUGACCACUGAACUAUAAGCCAUUCUCUGAAAAUCAAUUUCAACUCAAUGAUGCCCUUCCAACACAGGGCAUUUACUUCUAGAAAGGUUUUCCUCACUUGCUGGAAAGCAGAUAGCCAUGUAUGUGAUGCUGAUGGGCAAUGACGUGAAACUGAUUAUGUCCCUCUAGUGGCAUCAUGGGAGAGGGGAAUAGAAUAUGUGAAAGUACAGAAAGAAUCGAACUCCAGUGCAUUUUUCAAGCUAGUGAAAUUUAUUUCAUUUCAUUUGCAUGCUGCCUCAUGAAUUUGAAUAGUACACAACAUAUGAGAAAAGAGACAUAUGAAAGUUAAGAAAUAAAUAAAACACACAUUCAAUAAGGACCUUCCCUGCUUAUACAUUAAAAGCGGCCUUAAACAAAAAGGUUGCCUGCCAGCAAAAGGACAGCAAGGAAAGGGACAGUCUAAUCUUCCCCUGUAACUCUUAUAACUCUGACAGCUUUGUCUGGGGAAAUACAAGUAGACAUUUCUUCUAUGUCUUACAUUGCCUAGUAAUAGGCAUUUUCCUCUUUUGAAUAAGAAGAGUAAAACACAAAAGUGAAUAUUGUACUUUGAGCAUAUCAUGAGAUUACAUGAGUCACUAGAAAAGACAAUAAUACUUGGCAAAGUGGAGGCAGUAGGAAAAGAGGAAGACAGAUGCAUUGAUCUGUUAAAGAAGCCAUGAUUCUGUGUUUACAAGCCUGAACAGGACUGCCUCUCAUUCAAUGAGUUACCAUAUGUUGAAAUGGCAUCAACAACAAACUGGAAAUAAAUGGAAAAAAUGGAUAUUGGAGUUAGGAUCUUUUCAAAAUAUUUGCAAUGUAUUUAAUGUU